ACGGACUGUCAUUUAACCCGUUCGUUUCUCGUCGCAGAGGACAAGCUGUCGACUGGCGUCUCGCCGAUUGAGCGCACCUUGUCUCGCCGAGUUCCUGAUUCCUGCUGCACGUUGCCAAGAUGAUGUACACGGGGACAACUGCUUCGCAGGACACCAGGUUCAGCGACAAGGAGAAGAAGCUUCUAAAGCAAAUGAAGUUUGGAGAUUCAUUGA
This is a long non-coding RNA of Wasmannia auropunctata (little fire ant), 213 nucleotides long. RefSeq lists it as uncharacterized. The record is from RefSeq and is a predicted model, not a curated record. The transcript is spliced from 2 exons. NCBI's taxonomy places the organism in Eukaryota, Metazoa, Arthropoda, Insecta, Hymenoptera, Formicidae.